This 1109-nucleotide long non-coding RNA is filed under the name Cairina moschata (Muscovy duck). RNAcentral's name for it is "domestica (muscovy Duck (domestic type)) lncRNA (ENSCMMG00000009021.1)". Lineage: Eukaryota; Metazoa; Chordata; Aves; Anseriformes; Anatidae. The record is from RNAcentral.
UCUCAGUAAACAAGCGUGCUGAUAACAGAAGCCCUGAAUGCAGUCAGAAGUCAAAUGCGUGUCUUGGUGGAUCCUAGUCCAGAUUUAGCUUGAGACCCUCAGUUUUGGACUGAGGUGUAUGGGAAUCUGUGUCCUUAAUCCUGUGGUGAAUCUGUUAGUUGUCUGCUUGUGCUGUGUAUGAAUCCUGGGACAAGGUAGUAGUAGCAGAUGAUACAUUUCUGAAAACUAUGGAGAAGUGGAAGGCGUGUAGUUACAGGAAGAGACAGUGUGGUAACAGAGAAACACAAGUUGCUAGAAGCUUUGGUGGCUAGAGAAGGAAGCACAGAAGCAGAGACUUCAGAGCAACUGGAAGAAAAAGUAUAUAAGCUGAUAUUCCAUUUUCAAGGCUAAAUUUGAAUUAUUUUAUGAGAUACUUUCAUCUCAGUAUAGGUUAGCAUUCCUCAGCUUUUUAUAUUUGUAUAUAAAUAUUUUUCUUGAAGUAAAGUCAUUGGAAGUAAGAGCUCUUCUAUGUCACUUAUUUUAAUACUCUAAUAUAUUUCCCCUAGUUAAUCAUUUCUAUUUCUAAAUAUAAAUUUCCUUUCCUUUUCUUUCAAGUCACUUAAAAUGAAAGGGCCUGCUUUACUCUUUGACCUUCUCUAACAAGCAGACCCUUGAAAUGCAGCAUUUCCAGAAAGCAAGCUGUAGGAACAACAGAUGGAUUUAGUAAAUUACAGCCUGCAGAUGAAUUGUAUGAGGAGUAAGUUUGAGAUGAAGACUUAAAAUACACAGAAAUUUUCUGUGCUGUAGCUUGUUUCUUGCUGUCAAGCACUGCCUGUUAAAUGCGUAAUUUGUGUGAUGUUAGCCUUCUGUACUGAUUGAUUGGUAGAAGUCAUUCUGCCCCAAAUUACCAGCUAUUUGGGUCUCAGCCUGCAAUCUUACCCAGCCAGAAGACCGUGUCCUCUAGACACAGACUGGAGCACCAUCCUUUUCACUCAAGCUAAGCCAGUUCUGGGAGAGCCCUGUGGCUCUGGAAGUGAAAAGCAAUCAAGGUGGCCUCUUCCCCGUUCCCACCAUAGACUUCUGGCAGCAGAGUGCAGUUGCAUCAUCUCUGUGGAGCUUCCAGGCAAGGU